CUGAGUGUUGAGCAAAAAGAGAAACCGAGGAAAGGGAGCGGUGUGUGAGUGUGUGUGUGUGUGUGUGCACGCGCGCGCACCCCUGGUGUUCAGUGGGCUGCUUUCUUAGAGGUCAUCCUAGAGCUGAGACUGAGGUGACCAGAGGUUGGCCUUUGGGUUUCAAGUGGUCAAGAGAGUGGCUGUACCUGCAGUGGAUGUGCCUUGUAUAAACCAAGUUCAGCCUUCUGCUGGAUCAUUUGGUGCUGAGCGAUGACAAGAGAGGAAACAAAAAGUUAAACCAGCAAGCCUUGCCCUAGCGAGAAGGUAAGUAAUUAGCGAGCUU
Molecule: long non-coding RNA, 322 nt
Filed under: Oryctolagus cuniculus (rabbit)
Lineage: Eukaryota; Metazoa; Chordata; Mammalia; Lagomorpha; Leporidae
Description: lncRNA (ENSOCUG00000033285.1)
Source: RNAcentral